CCCACUAGGACGCUUCGAGGGCGCGGCCACGCCACGGCUCGCUUUACUUCCGCGCAGCCUGGCCUCCCAGCUGCGCAUGCGCCGCCUGACUGUCUCGGGGAGUCUGGAUGGCUAAGAAGGAAGGUCAGCCCGACGCUGCGGCGGGAGCCUCGUGAGUUAGGUCGUCGUUCAUCUGCAUAAUGACCAUUGAGGCGUCCUUCCGCCUGGAUGGACUGUCCGGGGGGCCCGCAUGGCCAGCAGUCCUCAGCCUGAGAGAGCCUGAGUCUGCAGCACCCAGAGGCAGUCAGCUGCGAUGUCAUGGGUAUCCAGUGGCCACUCUGGAGCCGUCAGUGGGCAACUGAGACCUCCUGCCAAGUCAUGUGUGCCAGUCACUGUGUGAUCAGACCCCCAGCCUCCUGCAACUGCCGCCUCAGGUGACAGUCUGGGUGGGAAAGACUCAGCCUGAAGCACCACGCUGAGCCAUCCUGUCCUGAUUCUCAGGAACUCUGUAAAGCAAUCAUACACGUGCUGUUUAGUUGCUUUAUCUAGGAGAGUUUUUGUAAAGCCCCAGUAACUGUUUGGAGCGACACUGAGAUCACCCUUCCACUUGGGAGCGCUGUCGUACAGCAGUACAGCCUAUGAAUCUCUCCUCAACAGGCUGAGGAGAAACACUUCCAUGGGACUCAGACCCACAAAUCAUCAAGUUGUCACUGGACACUUUCACAAAUCCCAGUUUGCAUACAGUUCCUAAAAGAAUAAGAGAAGUCUUCUGCUGAGGAUGACAGCGUGGAACUGAGCAUCUGUCCAUGUUACAGCCAACAGGAUGAAUAUGAGAAGCUGCCUAGAUGCUCUUGUGACCCCGUGGGCAAUACAGGAACCACUAUCACAAAGCACAUUGGUGACUGCCACCAACAAGAUCUGGAUGCAGAACACUCAGCUACUCUCCAGCACCAUGUGUGCCUGCUACCAUGCUCCCCACCAUGAUGACAAUGGACUAUGUAGAUGUAACCAACGGUCUUAUUAAAUAAGAAACACAGAGCCAAUUCAGAGAAGAAAGCCAAGAGGUCAGAGCUAAGAGCCUCACCCUUCCUGAUUCAGGGAUCCUCUUCAGCCAAGAGAGCUCUCCGAAAAGGACCUACUUCCUGUGUGUACGUCUUUAAAAUCUUCCUGUUCUGCCUUCUCAUUGGUUGUAAACCCAAACAUGUGACUGCCUCAUCACUGCCUGAAUGUACCGCCCUCCAGGUCCUUAAAGGCAUGCGCCACCACCGCCAUGCACUUGCUAUGGCUCUAAUAGCUCUGACCCCUAGACAACUUUAUUUAUUAACAUAUAAUUAAAAUCACAUUUCAGUACAAGUAAAAUACCACCACAGGACUAAACCUCUCAAACUCUAAGUAAGCCCCAGUUAAACGCUUUCCUUUAUAAGAGUUGCAGUGGUCAUAGUGUUUCUUCACAGCAAUGGAACAGUGAGUGACUAAGACGCUAGUGAUGGCCGGGAGUCACCACCAUGCUAGCUCGAGAGCCAAGCAGCAAGAGAGUUACUCAACCAUAGGGAAGACUUCCUGGCCACAGCUAUGGCCUUCUGUGGAUGACACAACCAACUCGCCAGCCUGCAGUGACUCAGCACAGAGAGAGCCAAAUAAUGAAGCCUGUGACCUCCUCCUUCUUCUACCCAGUCCCCUGCCCAUGCCUCAGCAACCAAACCCAUCCAGAGGCAGAGAACAAGGAAAUCACUGCUGUGGUCCAUGGGCUGAGCCAGCUUCUUGGGACAUAGAGAAAGAGGAAGAAAGACAGACAAAGAACCUGUUUAAUUUGCAGCUAUGAGUGUUGCACAUGAGGAAGGGCUCGGUUUUGCAAAUUUCCUUAAGAGACAUUUUUGUUGCUGAAAGAAAUCAAGGACUCCUGUCUAAAGACCGAGGCAAGCUAGAAGUCAUGUAGGAUCUGAGUUGUCAUGCUGGAGACAGCCAGAGGUUAUUUAGUGAGUCAUUCUUAAACGAUGAAGAUAUUUUAAAAUAACUCUAGGGGGAAAAUGUAUUAGGAUGUGUAUGCCAAGUAUAAAAACUUUUAAAAAGCCAGCACUCUUGCCUCAAUUUUUUGUAGUAAAACCCCAACUUAUUGAACUGGAAAUGGCAGCUUGAGAAGGAUGGAUAUUAGACAAUUUUUCUUAUUUUUCUUAGAAACCAUCCAGAAGGAAUAAGCACACUGAGAAACAGAAGAGCAAACACCACUUUUGGCAUCACAAGGUGAAACUCAAGCCACACAAACUGCAGAGGGAGUGGUUCCAGUGGGUAGUCAAGAGGUAUGUUCACAGUUGGUGAUUUCAGAGAAGGCUGAUGGACAUUCCAUGUUAGAGAGUUUGGAGGAGAGGGUGGCAAGCCAAGCCUAAGCCGGAGGGCAAUAUGCAGAGAUGAGAGGUGGAAGGGAUGUGGGCAGGGCUGAACAAAAGUUCAUAAACCACACAUUUGUAGGUUGGUCUCAGUCUGCCAGCAAGAAGACCAUUGUGGAGCCUAGAAUAUGGCUUUAGAUGGUAUAAGCUAAGUCAAUUCACCAUCUAAACCCUGACUUUGAGAGAGAGAGGGAGAGAACAGAGGAGAGGGGGAAGACCGGAAUGGGCCAGGGACAUGGAGGAAUUUUCAAGGGUGUGACCCCAGUUACCUGCUUCCUCCAACUAGUCUCCACCUCCUAAUUUAUGUCUUUCCCAAUACUGCCACCAAAUUAUGAAUCCACCAUUAGAUUCAUUCAUGUAAUAGGUCAGAAUCUCAUGACACAGUGGCUUCCCUAAAGUUCUUCCCCUGAUACUGCUGCACUGGGGACGAGGCCUUCACCAUGUGAGCCUUGUAGGGGACACUUCAUGUGCCAACCAUAAUAACACACACACACACACACACACACACACACACACACACACACACACACACACAGAGCAAAGGCCUUUGUAACAGUAGGACAAGGUGAAAGUGAACUGAUGAGAUUGGCUAGUUAGAAAUGGAGAGCACCUGCACCCAAAAGAAACAAAAAUAAAUGCUCAGUCAGCACAGGGAAACUCAGAAGAGCUGAGGAAAGACUGACACCUGUAUUGAGGAAAAAGGACUUUUUACUCUUCUGUAAAAAAUUUUAUAAUUAAGAAGAAAAUUGGGCACACUGUACAGAAAAUUCAUACAAAAUGAAAUUCAAAUGUAUCCACAUUAAGAGAUGUUAUUAACCUGGAAUAAAAGAAAGGCAACUUAAAACAUUGUUUAAAUUUUAUUCUGGUCUACAGAGUAAGGUCCUGGUCCUGGUCCUAUUCUGCCUGCAUGUAUACCUGCAAAAAAGAGGAGGGCACCAGAUCUCAUUAAAGAUGGUUGAGAGCCACCAUGUAGUUGCUGGGAAUUGAACUCAGGACGUCUGGAAGAACAGUCAGUGCUCUUAACCACUGAGCUAUCUCUCCAGCCCUGGCACAUGGCUUUCUUUAAUCCAGUACUUGGGAGGCAAAGGCAGGCAGAUCUCUCAGUUCGAGGCCAGCCUGGUCUACAGAGUAAGUUCCUGGUCCUGGUCCUGGUUUUUUGCCUGAAUUUAUCAAAUGUUAAUGGACUAGAUUACAUAAUGUAAUCUUGACUGUGUAUAUUGUAUAUACUUAUUGGAUAUAAUUUUUCUUGUAUUAGUUAUAAGCUUUUUUUUUAAGUUUAGACAAAAAGAGAGGAAAUGUGUUGGUAUUGUGUUCACCAAAAUAUUGUGAACCCUAAUAAAUUUUGGUCCUGGUCCUGGUCUUUUGAGACAUUGUCUCUGAGUGGUGGCAGCACAUGACAUUUUUUUAAUUUUUUUAUGGUUUAGCUAUUUAUUAUACUUUUUUUUUUUAAAAAAAGAUUUAGCUAUCCAGCCUGACAGACUACUCGAGAAAGGACUUAUGACAAGCCCUAAACUUUCCUUUUAUGCAGAGACUGGACAAAUGAUACAGGAUUUGACAAUUAACCCAAAAAUUUUCUUUUCAAGAUUUCCUAAAGAUAUCUUCACCACUAGAAAGUAAAAAGAAAAAGAGAAUAUAGAUAUGAGAUAGAUCAUUGAAUCUACUCUGAAAAAAAAGAUAAAGAAAUAAUAGGAUAAAUAGGUAGAUCACUGAAUCAGCACUGAAGAAAAGGGGGAAGAUAUAAAAAUGACAAAAGGUAGACUACUGAAUGUAUUAUGAAAAGAAAAAAGAGAGAAUAUGGUUAUCAUAAGAUAAAAAGGGAGAUUAUGGAAUCUACUUUUAAAAAGGAACUACUUGUUUUAAAGAAGAUAAGUAAUGAAAAAAUUUUGGUCUGAGUUUAUCAGAUGUUACUGGACUGGACAUUGUUAAUAUAUAUAAUGGAGUUUUUAUCUGAAUGUGUCAAAUGUUAAUGGACUAGACAUCAUUAAUGUAAUUUUGGCUGUAUAUAUUGUAUAUACUUAUUGCAUAGUUUUCUUGUAUGAGUUAUAAGCCUUUUUUAAUUUUAGACAAAAAGAGAGGAAAUGUGGUGGU
Peromyscus californicus insignis is the source of this 4451-nucleotide long non-coding RNA. RefSeq lists it as uncharacterized. NCBI's taxonomy places the organism in Eukaryota, Metazoa, Chordata, Mammalia, Rodentia, Cricetidae. The transcript has 4 exons. The record is from RefSeq and is a predicted model, not a curated record.